RNAcentral lists this transfer RNA (69 nucleotides) under Tscherskia triton (greater long-tailed hamster). Its description in RNAcentral is "tRNA-Gly". Lineage: Eukaryota; Metazoa; Chordata; Mammalia; Rodentia; Cricetidae. The record is from RNAcentral.
ACUCUCUUAGUAUAACCAGUACAACCGACUUCCAAUCAGUUAGCUCUAGUCUGAACCUAGAAGAGAGUA